This 532-nucleotide ribosomal RNA is filed under the name uncultured bacterium. RNAcentral describes it as "bacterial SSU rRNA". It matches the Rfam family "Bacterial small subunit ribosomal RNA", at positions 977 to 1509 of the family's 1533-position model. The record is from RNAcentral.
GGCCUUGACAUACUAAGAACUUCCAGAGAUGGAUUGGUGCCUUCGGGAACUUAGAUACAGGUGCUGCAUGGCUGUCGUCAGCUCGUGUCGUGAGAUGUUGGGUUAAGUCCCGCAACGAGCGCAACCCUUUUCCUUAUUUGCCAGCGGGUCAUGCCGGGAACUUUAAGGAUACUGCCAGUGACAAACUGGAGGAAGGCGGGGACGACGUCAAGUCAUCAUGGCCCUUACGGCCAGGGCUACACACGUGCUACAAUGGUCGGUACAAAGGGUUGCUACCUCGCGAGAGGAUGCUAAUCUCAAAAAGCCGAUCGUAGUCCGGAUCGCAGUCUGCAACUCGACUGCGUGAAGUCGGAAUCGCUAGUAAUCGCGGAUCAGAAUGCCGCGGUGAAUACGUUCCCGGGCCUUGUACACACCGCCCGUCACACCAUGGGAGUUUGUUGCACCAGAAGUAGGUAGUCUAACCGCAAGGAGGACGCUUACCACGGUGUGGCCGAUGACUGGGGUGAAGUCGUAACAAGGUAAGCGUAGAUGA